Molecule: ribosomal RNA, 470 nt
Filed under: Metridia pacifica
Lineage: Eukaryota; Metazoa; Arthropoda; Copepoda; Calanoida; Metridinidae
Description: partial 12S ribosomal RNA
Source: RNAcentral
CCUGUAAGCCAGGUGUAUCUACCCUCCUUCCUAAAAAUUCUUUUGUCAAAAAAGCAAAUUGUUUAAAAAUUGCCUGAAUGACCAAAAACCCCAAUCUUGAACAUUUUACAAAAACAGGGGGUAGACGUCCUUUAUUCUUCUUUUUACUAAAACCAGGUAUUAAAAGAGCUCUCUCUAAACCUAAAUAAAGUGGCAGUGGUUUAUCCCGGGCAGAGAGGUUUGAGCCUUUAUUUGAUACUCCUCUUUUUAUCUUACUAAUCUUUAUUUUUUGUGUGGCUGUUUUAAAAAAGGCCAGCCCCUGCUUUUAGCUCAAGUCUUAUGAAAACAAAUAUUAGGGAGCUUUAGCCACGUUCCCUUCCUUAUUAUACCCUUUUAAUUUAUAAGUACUGAAUUUGCCAGUAGGCUUCUCUUAAUAUGAGAGGCUGAACUUGUUAUAAACUAAGUACAUAUUGUCCGUCACUCUCUUUAAA